RNAcentral lists this ribosomal RNA (465 nucleotides) under uncultured bacterium. Its description in RNAcentral is "partial 16S ribosomal RNA". It matches the Rfam family "Bacterial small subunit ribosomal RNA", at positions 28 to 507 of the family's 1533-position model. The record is from RNAcentral.
GACGAACGCUGGCGGCGUGCUUAACACAUGCAAGUCGAACGGAAAGGCCCUGCUUGCAGGGUACUCGAGUGGCGAACGGGUGAGUAACACGUGGGUGAUCUGCCCUGCACUUCGGGAUAAGCCUGGGAAACUGGGUCUAAUACCGGAUAGGAGCCAUUUUUAGUGUGAUGGUUGGAAAGUUUUUUCGGUGUAGGAUGAGCUCGCGGCCUAUCAGCUUGUUGGUGGGGUAAUGGCCUACCAAGGCGGCGACGGGUAGCCGGCCGGAGAGGGUGGACGGCCACAUUGGGACUGAGAUACGGCCCAGACUCCUACGGGAGGCAGCAGUGGGGAAUAUUGCACAAUGGGCGCAAGCCUGAUGCAGCGACGCCGCGUGGGGGAUGACGGCCUUCGGGUUGGAAACUCCUUUCGCUAGGGACGAAGCUUUUUGUGACGGUACCUAGAUAAGAAGCACCGGCUAACUACGUG